Molecule: long non-coding RNA, 641 nt
Organism: Helianthus annuus (common sunflower)
Lineage: Eukaryota; Viridiplantae; Streptophyta; Magnoliopsida; Asterales; Asteraceae
Exons: 3
Source: RefSeq, a predicted model, not a curated record
UCCCGAACCUACUAAGCUAACUAGGAAUAAUUCUAACCUAGUUAGAUAGUGACUUAUGAGUGGGUUAAAACACUUAAAUUAUGAACUAAGGAAAAUGAAGGGGCCAAAGAUGUUAAAAUCGAAACUUAUGUUGCUAAUUUAAUUAAAACAAAAACCAAACACCCCAUUUGGGGAUGUCUGGUCGUACAAAGAAGCAGGAGGCGAUGGGUUUCUUCAAACCCUAAAAUCCUUACUAAAACUCUCAAAUUGGAGGUGCAAAUCUGGUCGAAAACGAAAAUCGAGCAUAGAUUACUGAUCCCCAUUGCAAGGGGGUUGUAAGUUUGACUCUUGACAAGCUAGAUGGAGGCUUGGAAUGAAGCGGGUCAAACGAAGCAAGUACGAAAAGAAAAGCGUAAUUUGGAUGCGAGUCUUAGGUACUCAAGGAUUAUGGGUGACGAUCAAGCAACUUUUGAAGGACCGAACACAUACUCUUGAAGCUUCCGCAUAAAUCAACUCGGUUUAAACAAUGUUUAUGAUGUAAACUGUUUGCUAAACAACUUUUGAAAUGUUUAAACGACGUACUCAAUUAUGUUAUGUUGUAUUAUUUUAAAAUUGUAAAGUUUAAACAAACCCGUAUUUUUACUAAGUAUAUGUAGUCAUAA